Long non-coding RNA from Dreissena polymorpha, 721 nucleotides. RefSeq lists it as uncharacterized. The record is from RefSeq and is a predicted model, not a curated record. The transcript is spliced from 3 exons. Lineage: Eukaryota; Metazoa; Mollusca; Bivalvia; Myida; Dreissenidae.
AGGUUUCUUAUUCAUAGGAUGAACAUGAUUGUCUCUCUUCUGAUCUUCCUCUGUGGAUUCCUUGAAAUACGUUAUGGUCGCGGUUGAAGUAUCAAUUGGCCAGAAAGCAAACAAUUUCACACAGGAAUGAUGGUGCCCAUAGAAUGCCACAGCGAUCAAUACGGGAUAGUCUUCGAUUUUACACAACGUAGUUCCACUCAAAGUGUUUCGAUAGCUGAAUGCGAAUUUAAACCAAAUAAUUCAAGUACGGCAUUUUUUAUGACUGACGGCUUUGAAUCAGCAUACAAUAUUACACAGACAUCUCGAACCUGUAUACUGACAAUACUGAGUCUCAAAGAGGACCAGUGUGGAACAUACAGCUGCACAGAGCUCUACAUUAAAAGCGUAUACGUAUAUUGGAAUAUAUCAUGCAACGGUGAGCGAGUCGGCACUACACGUGUUACGAGUGCUCCUGGGAUGACGAAGUUUCAGCCUGACCCGGGAAGAACCAAGACACUUAUUGGCCAAAUACUCGGCGUCGUUGCAUUAAUUUUGUGUUCGUUGUGCAUGGCGUAUCGUAAGUGGAGAACUACCAUAAAACUAUGCGGUUAGUAUGGUCUAUGUGGAUAUGAUGCAAGCAGACGCAACGAUAGAAAAUAGUACAAUUAUUAAAUAAUGCUACUUUUACAGAAAAAAAGACGUGAAUAAUCCUGGGUCUUGAAUAAUACAAGACAUAAGAUGU